This 86-nucleotide non-coding RNA is filed under the name unclassified sequences. The record is from RNAcentral.
UAAUAAAUAUCGCCGGGUAUUUUAUUAAAGGUGUUAACAAACCAUUCUUAGGCCGUAGAUAGAAUGAUUUGUUAGCACCUUUUUUU